GACGAACGCUGGCGGCGUGCUUAACACAUGCGAGUCGAACGGAAAGGCCUUUUCGGCGGUACUCGAGUGGCGAACGGGUGAGUAACACGUGGGUGAUCUGCCCUGCACUCUGGGAUAAGCCUGGGAAACUGGGUCUAAUACCGGAUAGGACCGCACUUUAGUGUGUGUGGUGGAAAGUUUUUUCGGUGUAGGAUGAGCCCGCGGCCUAUCAGCUUGUUGGUGGGGUAAUGGCCUACCAAGGCGGCGACGGGUAGCCGGACUGAGAGGUUGGUCGGCCACAUUGGGACUGAGAUACGGCCCAGACUCCUACGGGAGGCAGCAGUGGGGAAUAUUGCACAAUGGGCGCAAGCCUGAUGCAGCGACGCCGCGUGGGGGAUGACGGCCUUCGGGUUGUAAACUCCUUUCGCCAGGGACGAAGCGUUUUGUGACGGUACCUGGAGAAGAAGCACCGGCUAACUACGUG
RNAcentral lists this ribosomal RNA (463 nucleotides) under uncultured bacterium. Its description in RNAcentral is "partial 16S ribosomal RNA". It matches the Rfam family "Bacterial small subunit ribosomal RNA", at positions 28 to 507 of the family's 1533-position model. The record is from RNAcentral.